Equus caballus (horse) is the source of this 2013-nucleotide long non-coding RNA. Lineage: Eukaryota; Metazoa; Chordata; Mammalia; Perissodactyla; Equidae. The record is from Ensembl.
GACUUUGAUAAACAAAUAUUAAACAGUAUUGAAAGAGAUGUUAUAGAAAAUUAUUUUCUGGUUAUAUUCCUUUAAGUCCUUCUUGCACUUUUUUUUUUAGUAUAAAGGAGCAUUGGGUUAUUCAACUUUUUACGUGUUUAUAUGGACUUGGAAAGAUAGUAUAUCUAUAUGGGCAUAAGAAGAGCAAGGUUGUCAUUUUUUUAUUAUGAUACAAAAAUGACCAGGAAAAUGCCGUUCUGACUAUAGAUAGGCAGGAGGAACAAGCAACAAGCCUGAGGCCACCAUUUCUAGAGGCAUCAUGAUGAGGAAUAGCAUUGGCUGAGGGUGGGGAGCAGGCAGCUCAGCGUAGGCCAGGGUGAGUGGGCACCAGGAGCAAAAUGCAGAUGAGGUGAGUUGCCCCUCAGACAGUGCCAGUGGGGCCUGACGACAACUGCAGGCAGCCCUCCCCAACCUCUCUGCAUAGACGCAGCACCAGGAAGCAGUCUUUUCCUGACUGGGGAAGGAGAGAGAGUCCUGAACUGAUUGAGAUAACCUGGAAUCAAUUAAAUAGCUUCUUCUGUCCUCAGGUGGAAUGAGGAAUUGAAAUGCAGAUGAAGUUGAGUUCAAGAAAAAUCACGUUUCUUAUGCAGCUGAUGGAAAGAUUCAUACAUUCUUGUGAUGCUGGUCAGUGGGGAGGUAGGCGUUGCGGGAGGCUGUGUGGUUCUGCAGUACUGCUCCUAAGCAAACUCCACGUUGCUGCCCUGGGGAGGACAAAAGGCUGAUUCGCUGAAAGAAUCAUUAACAGAGAUGGCGGAAGGAGCCUCAGCCGUUAUUUGGAUAAAUUUAACUUUUUAAGAUCUACUCAAAUGGAUUGGGUAGGUGGAUACCACUGUGAUCUGUCAUGGAUCUGCACUGACUUGAACUGAGAACUACCAACUGGUGUAUUCUUCAGCCCCAUGAACCAAGACAGCCCUUGAUAUUUAUUAAUCUUUUACUGAUGCAUGAUUAAAGGAAUGCUUUUCUCCUCUCCAAGUUUCAGCGAUCGUCUCCAGGCCAACUGGUGUGGCUCCACUUCAGGAUGCAGGUCUGGGAAUCCACAUCUGUUCCAUGUGUCUCUUAUCCUCCUUGGGCCAGUGGACCAGCUAGUGAUCCUCUUCUUGCAGCAAAAGCAGGAGCACAAGAGUGCAAGCCCCAUUCCUCAAUGACAUUUCAAGUCCUUGCUUGUGACACUUCUGCUCAUGUCCUAUUGACCAAAGGAAGGCAUUUUGCUGAGUCCGACAUCCAUAAAGUGGAGAAAUGCUCCACCCCUGUGAGACCAUGGCAUAGCCAUGAAGGCAUAUAACUACUACAGGGGAGGGAAGAAUUGUCACCAGUAAUUUCAUCUACCACAACACAUUUAUUGGUUAUGAAUUGCUGUGAAUUUCUGGUUCAUAGUCUUUGCUCAUGUUGUCUUGAGUUGCUUGUAUUUUGCUUAUUGUUUUGUAGAUAUUCUUUACAUAAUGUGGAUUCUGAUUUUUAUCUAUUAUAAGAUUAUGAAAAAUCUUAUUUUAGUACAUGGCUUAUCUUUUCACUUUGUUUAUGAUAUUUGUCUUGUAAAGUUUAAAAUUUGACUGCAGUCUAAAUAGUUAUCAGUUUUUUCUUUUACAGUUUGCACUCAUUGUGUUGUUUUAGAAAAUUAUCUGCAUCCUGAGGUCAUUAAUAUACCCUCCAAUGUUAUCUUCUAAGAGUAGUAAAGUUUCAUUUUUCCAUGUAGGUUCAUGAUUUGCUCAGAACUUUUAAGUUUUUUCUAUUUUUUUCUGUAAAUUCUCUUAUAUAUUCUACAUAAAUAAUCAUAUCAUUUAUGAGUAAUAAAAUUUGGUCUUUUUGUUUCCAAUUCUUAAAUCUUUUUUUCUUUUUCUUAUGACACUAAUCCAGAAAAAUGUGGACCAGGAGUUGCACAGCAAGUAUCCCACCCACUCCUUGAUUUUAAUGGAAAUAUUUCCAAUGUUUUACUACUGCAGGAGAUUGAUCACAAAGAAAGUAAUCAGAAAAUAA